AUUUUUUUGCCACUUUUUUUCAAUAUUAUUUCUAUCAUUAUUAGUAUUAAACCCACAUAAUAGGAUUAUGGGUUUGGAUUUACCAUCUGGUGGGCAUUUAACACAUGGUUAUUAUACAUCUGGUGGGAAAAAGAUAUCGGCUACUUCAAUUUACUUUGAGAGUUUACCUUAUAAGUUGGAUUCGACAACUAUUACGAUAGUCGAGCAAAUUAACACAAUUUGGAUGUCCUGGCGAUCUGGUUUUAUGCUUUGUGAUCCAUGAGUUAAUGUUGAAAAAUUGGUAUUAGUUGAACUUGUAGGUCUUGUCAAGUUUCUUCUGAUUACAUGAUUAUGAUGAGGCUUAAUGGGGAAUUACUCUUCACAUAAUUUAUACACUAGAGUCUGAUUUCUAAUGAUUUGCAUUUGUUUUAUACGCUGCGAUUUGAGUUGUGACUUUGGUAUUUCAAGACUGUCUUUGUUAGUGUCUUCACUAGAUCUACUCUUAGGCCUUCAAACUGCCAUAGAAGAAAGGCUAUUUUUUGGUAGAUCUAAGCAUUUUAGAAGUUAAUGAAAUGUUUUGUCCUUGAGAUGCGCGAUGUUCCUUUUUCCCCCUAAAUGUUACACUAUUGGUCCUUAAGUAUAUUUUUUUUAAAAAUCCUACAAGCUGUGUUUGAAGAGCUCAAUUUAGAUUAUGGCUGUUCAUCUUUAAUCUAAUAGAUGCAUGGAUUAAAGAAGCAGGGAUGUAUCAUGACAGUACUUUGUCCUUCAGAUGGAGCCUCAUUUUUAAAAGAUUUCUCCUUUUCUGGUGAAUGGUGCAAUGUCAGUUUACUAUGCAUUGUUUGAUUAAAUUAGAACCAAGCAGAUUAGACCAUGUGAGAUGUAACCGAUGUCUACUGUCUACAUUCCAAGGUUGUUGUUUUCCUUGUUAUUAAAUUCCAGAAUUCUAUCAGUUAAUCAUUAGUACUGUUAACUGCUACAUGCACAUUUUAUUUACGCUAUUACUAAGUUGAAUCUUGGUAUGAAUAUCACAAUCCAUAAUGGCAAAGACACCUUCUCGUAUGUUUUUAAGACUUCACAAAAAACCAUUUAGUUUCUGAAACUUGGCAAUUAGAAUAUCACUCAGUUCUUAUUGCUCCAGAGUCCAGCCCGUGUACAAUAUUCUACCUUCAAAAUUAAUAGCGUGAAGUGAUUUCAUUUUCCUUUCUCUGUUGUUCACCUUUGUUUUGGAAUGUUUUUCUUCUGUUGUUUCAUGCAUUAGCCACUGAGAUUAUGUGGAAUUUAACAUUCUGCUUAUUUUUAGGUACUUUGUGUAGUUGGAGAUGUUUUUUUUUUUUGCAUGACACAAAUGGGCUGUCCCUUUUGAGAAAGCAUUUAUGAUUGUAGAAGUACUUUGAUGAAUUGGACGUGUUGAUGAGUUGCAUUGUUGAUUUGAUUGAUGAGUGUGACUGGCAGGUGGGCUGCUGUAAAAGAGGGUAAAAAAUCCACCAAUGUGCCCUGCCCAAGAUCCUGAUAUAGCCUGGUAUACAAAGAUUGAGACUUGCUUAACUCCCUUACCUGAAGUUUCAAGUGAAGAAGAGGUGGCUGGUGGACAAUUGAAAAAGUGGCCUAAAAGAUUACAAGCGAUACCACCGAGGAUAAGCAGGGGUACUGUAACUACAAUUGAUAAGUGUUUGAAUGUAGUUUUAAUUCGAAUUAGAAGUACUUUGAAGGUGAAUUUGAUUGUAGAAUGUAGUUUAUGGUUGUUUAAGUUUAUGAUGUUUAAGUGUUUCAAUGUAAUUGUAAUUUGAAUUAGAAGUACUUUAAAUUGGAAUUUGAGGUUGAAUUUGAUUGUAGAAUGUUGUAGUUUAUGACUGUAGAAGUACUUUGAUGAAUUGGAUGUGUUGAUGAAUUGCAUUGUUGAUUUGGUUGAUGAAUGAGAUUGGCUGGUGGGCAGCUGAAUGCUGGAA
RNA transcript from Lycium barbarum (goji berry), 1925 nucleotides. It is a transcript of the gene named probable methyltransferase PMT14, with no coding region annotated. NCBI's taxonomy places the organism in Eukaryota, Viridiplantae, Streptophyta, Magnoliopsida, Solanales, Solanaceae. The record is from RefSeq and is a predicted model, not a curated record. The transcript has 3 exons.